CAUAGGUUAAUGAGGCGAACCGGGGGAACUGAAACAUCUAAGUACCCCGAGGAAAAGAAAUCAACCGAGAUUCCCCCAGUAGCGGCGAGCGAACGGGGAGGAGCCCAGAGCCUGAAUCAGUGUGUGUGUUAGUGGAAGCGUCUGGAAAGGCGCGCGAUACAGGGUGACAGCCCCGUACACAAAAAUGCACAUAUUGUGAGCUCGAUGAGUAGGGCGGGACACGUGGUAUCCUGUCUGAAUAUGGGGGGACCAUCCUCCAAGGCUAAAUACUCCUGACUGACCGAUAGUGAACCAGUACCGUGAGGGAAAGGCGAAAAGAACCCCGGCGAGGGGAGUGAAAAAGAACCUGAAACCGUGUACGUACAAGCAGUGGGAGCCUCUUAAUGGGGUGACUGCGUACCUUUUGUAUAAUGGGUCAGCGACUUAUAUUCUGUAGCAAGGUUAACCGAAUAGGGGAGCCGAAGGGAAACCGAGUCUUAACUGGGCGUUAAGUUGCAGGGUAUAGACCCGAAACCCGGUGAUCUAGCCAUGGGCAGGUUGAAGGUUGGGUAACACUAACUGGAGGACCGAACCGACUAAUGUUGAAAAAUUAGCGGAUGACUUGUGGCUGGGGGUGAAAGGCCAAUCAAACCGGGAGAUAGCUGGUUCUCCCCGAAAGCUAUUUAGGUAGCGCCUCGUGAAUUCAUCUCCGGGGGUAGAGCACUGUUUCGGCAAGGGGGUCAUCCCGAC
RNAcentral lists this ribosomal RNA (729 nucleotides) under Escherichia coli. RNAcentral's name for it is "partial 23S ribosomal RNA". It matches the Rfam family "Bacterial large subunit ribosomal RNA", at positions 165 to 935 of the family's 2925-position model. Lineage: Bacteria; Pseudomonadati; Pseudomonadota; Gammaproteobacteria; Enterobacterales; Enterobacteriaceae. The record is from RNAcentral.